RNAcentral lists this ribosomal RNA (1311 nucleotides) under uncultured archaeon. RNAcentral describes it as "bacterial SSU rRNA". It matches the Rfam family "Archaeal small subunit ribosomal RNA", at positions 21 to 1337 of the family's 1478-position model. The record is from RNAcentral.
AGGCUACUGCUAUUGGAAUUCGACUAAGCCAUGCGAGUCAAGGUGUCUUCGGACGCCGGCAAACGGCUCAGUAACACGUAGGUAAUCUACCCUCAGGACUGAGAUAACCCCGGGAAACUGGGGCUAAUACCAGAUAGAUAAAAGAUACUGGAAUGUUCUUUUAUCCAAAGCUUUUGUGCCUGAGGAUGAGCCUGCGCCCGAUUAGGUAGUUGGUGGGGUAAUGGCCCACCAAGCCUGCGAUCGGUACGGGCAGUGGGAGCUGUAGCCCGGAGUUGGGGACUGAGACAAGGCCCCAGGCCCUACGGGGCGCAGCAGGCGCGAAACCUCUGCAAUGCGGGAAACCGUGACAGGGGGAUUCCAAGUGCUCAUGCAUUGCAUGGGCUGUUCUUUGGUCUAAGUAACCAGAGGAGUAAGGGCUGGGCAAGACCGGUGCCAGCCGCCGCGGUAAUACCGGCAGCUCGAGUGGUAGCCGCGAUUAUUGGGCCUAAAACGUUCGUAGCCGGAUAAGUAAGUCUUUGGUUAAAUCCUACGACUUAACCGUGGGAAAUCUAGAGAUACUGCUUGUCUUGAGACCGGGAGAGGUUGGAGGUACUCCCAGGGUAGGGGUUAAAUCCUGUAAUCCUUGAAGGACCACCAGUAGCGAAGGCGUCUCACCAGAACGGACCUGACGGCAAGGGACGAAAGCUAGGGGCACGAACCGGAUUAGAUACCCGGGUAGUCCUAGCCGUAAACGAUACUCGCUAGGUGUCGGCCACGGUGCGACCGUUGUCGGUGCCGUAGGGAAGCCGUGAAGCGAGCCACCUGGGAAGUACGGCCGCAAGGCUGAAACUUAAAGGAAUUGGCGGGGGAGCACCACAACGGGUGGAGCUUGCGGUUUAAUUGGAUUCAACGCCGGAAAUCUUACCGGGACCGACAGCAACAUGAAGGCCAGGCUGAAGACUUUGCCGGAUUAGCUGAGAGGUGGUGCAUGGCCGUCGUCAGUUCGUACUGUGAAGCAUCCUGUUAAGUCAGGCAACGAGCGAGACCCACGCCCACAGUUGCCAGCGUACUCUCCGGAGUGACGGGUACACUGUGGGGACCGCCGCUGCUAAAGCGGAGGAAGGAAUGGGCAACGGUAGGUCAGUAUGCCCCGAAUAUCCCGGGCUACACGCGAGCUACAAUGGUUGGUACAAUGGGUAUCUACCCCGAAAGGGGAUGGAAAUCUCCUAAAGCCAAUCUUAGUUCGGAUUGAGGGCUGCAACUCGCCCUCAUGAAGCUGGAAUCCGUAGUAAUCGCGUUUCAACAGAACGCGGUGAAUACGUCCCUGCUCCU